RNAcentral lists this long non-coding RNA (504 nucleotides) under Homo sapiens (human). RNAcentral describes it as "HSALNT0297513". Lineage: Eukaryota; Metazoa; Chordata; Mammalia; Primates; Hominidae. The record is from RNAcentral.
AGUCAGCACCAUGUCACCCUAUGGAGACUGGCCUCCAUCCCUGGGAUUUGCUGGUAGAAGAAAGGGAAUCAGCGCUGACUGAGCUCCUACUAUGUGCCCUUCCUGGGCCUGGCACUGGAAUCACAGGAUGAAUGAAUAAGGCAUAUUUCCUGCCCUGAGGAGGCGUCUAUAGGGGAAGUCGGAAUUAAGGCACCUCCAGAAUUCUGAGGUCAAGGGAAUGUCAACAGAGCUGUGAACAAAAUGCCCAAAGCCAUGAAAAUCUACAGAGAGAGACUCGAAGGGGAGGAAUGGGGCCAGGCUGAGGUCGGGAUGGUGGAGGAGGUGGUGGAGGUGAUGAGGUACCAGAGCAACCUCGAAGAAAGCUGAGAGGCAGGAGACCGCCAAAGGCAAACUUGGAACACCUGGUGACUCCGACUAACUCUCCAUGUGGUGUCCUUGAGGACUUUUAUGAUACUGCUACCACUGCUAAUAGUAAUAAAAGCCACUAUUUAAUGUGUUUACUAU